GGAUGUGAGGGCAUCUGGUGGCGACAUCUGUCAUCCCAUUGAUCACCAGGGUUGAUUCGGCUGAUCUGGCUGGCUAGGCGGGUGUCCCCUUCCUCCCUCUAUGCUCCAUGUGCAUCCCUCCCGAAGCUGCGCGCUCGGUCAAAGAGGAUGACCUUCCCUGCUAGAGGAGGACGGUUCUUUGGUCAAGGGUAUAUGAGUAGCUGCGUUCCCCUGCUAGAACCUCCAAACAAGCUCUCAAAAAAGGCUCUUACAGGGAAGAAGGUUUGGCUCAACUGAUAGAGCAUCUGCCUACCAUAUGGGAGGUCCAGGGU
Molecule: small nuclear RNA, 311 nt
Filed under: Dasypus novemcinctus (nine-banded armadillo)
Lineage: Eukaryota; Metazoa; Chordata; Mammalia; Cingulata; Dasypodidae
Description: 7SK RNA (ENSDNOG00000028812.1)
Rfam family: 7SK RNA
About the family: 7SK was discovered as an abundant small nuclear RNA in the mid-70s but a possible function has only recently been suggested. Two independent studies have found that 7SK RNA binds the CDK9/cyclin T complex (known as elongation factor P-TEFb).
Source: RNAcentral